This 44-nucleotide non-coding RNA is filed under the name Schistosoma mattheei. Lineage: Eukaryota; Metazoa; Platyhelminthes; Trematoda; Strigeidida; Schistosomatidae. The record is from RNAcentral.
AGCAGCUGACGAGUCCCAAAUGGAACGAAACGCGUGUCCUGGAU